UCUUGAUGUGCAGGAGAUCGCUUGAGCGCUGCUCACAGGUCGAGCUUUUGCUGUAACACUGGGAGUCGAUUAAUAUUCCCAGAAUCGACUCAUUUCUUCCCUUUCUUCCUCACUGGAAUGGGAGUCGGUUCCUCAGGCUGCGGUCGAGCCGAGUUAUGCGGCCACUGGAUCACAGCGAGCGGUUUAGCGUCACUAAACCAGCCGAGGAGUCGACUCUUGUUGGAACCGAGCAGCAGAACCGGACACUGGCUUUCCAAGGAGGACAGAGUUCUGAAAUGAGGAAGUGCAGCCAGAACAUAUAAGGAACGCUUCUGCUGAGUUCUCUAUGGUUCAGCAACGGACUGGAACACCGUCGUUUCGAGCAGUAAAUCAUGGCAGAACCCAGGCAGCCCUCUGACCGGCCUCAGAGGAAGAUGUCCACUUCAGGAAACAGCUUAUAUAAAGUGCUAGGUUUAGAAAAAGGGGCUUCGGCAGAGGAUAUUAAAAAGGCAUACAGGAAACUUGCCCUGAAAUACCACCCAGACAAGAACCCAGACAAUCCUGAAGCUGCUGAGAAGUUCAAAGAGAUCAACAAUGCCAACUCCAUCCUCAACGAUGACACCAAGAGGAAGAUCUAUGAUGAAUAUGGCUCCAUGGGUCUUUAUGUCUCCGAGCAGUUUGGAGAGGAGAGUGUCAAAUACUACUUCCUCAUGUCAAAGUGGUGGUUUAAGGCGAUGGCGCUGUGCUGCACGCUUUUCACCUGCUGCUGCUGUUGCUGCUGCUGCUGCUUCUGCUGCGGGAAGUGCAAGCCCCCCGAGGAUGACGAGAACUACCAGUACGUGGAUCCAGAGGACCUGGAGGCUCAGAUCAAAGCAGAACAGGACGGGGGAGGUGAGACAAUAAUAAUUGUACAGCCCAUGCCAAGUCCAGGUCCAGAGAAUCCCAGUGACGCUCUGCCGGAGUCGAAAUGACUCGUAAGAUUAACCUGUUCAAAUAUCACACUCCUGUCAGCACGAUCCGCCCACCUCCUUCAAGAGACGAUGAGCUGGAUGAGCUGCGUCAGGGAUGGGGAGGCUCAAGUCCCCCUAUUGUGAUCCAGCCGCAUUCCACCAUCAUCACUUCGGAGACCACCCACUUCGCAGCCAGCCAGCCCAUGUACUCCGCCCAGCAGUGAGCACCUUGCCCGCUGCAGGGGUUUCAUUGUGAGGUCUUCCCCACCUUUGAUGGAAUGCAGGGCACCAAACUGUGGCUACUGCCCAAGUCCUCGGCACUGACGUUAUCGGAAGCGAAUGGGAUGGGAAUCUUCUGCCAAGCUCACCUCAAUUAUUCUUCUCAAUUGUCUGUCACUUUCAUCUGGAAACCCAUCUAACUGUGAGCCUGGAAGGAAAUGGGCUUGAUUCCUUUGUGGGGGGGGGGUGGUCUAUUCUGGGUCUGAUUUUCUUUUUUCUCUGUUUUUUAAAUCGGUAAAACAGCGCUGGGACUAUCUUGUGUAAGUAGCAUGGAGUUGAAGGCUCAUCCGGGUGCAUGCACAGCAAUAACUGCAUGCCCUUAUUGUCCAGCACUCACGCACACUGUACAUGCUCCUGUACACCUUCCGCGACCCCCACACCCCACCACUCCACCACCCCGCUCCCAGUCCUGUCCCUAAAGUAAAUCUGAGGGGCCACAAAUAUCCUGUUACUCUUGAUUUCUGAACUGGAGUGUCUGUGACUCUUAUCUAAGCAGAUUUUCUUCUAGUUGGGCUGUGCUCACCGAGCAUUUGCAACAAAUUGAACCAGGUCAUUUCAUUUUAGGCUUUAUCUAUUUUGCCCUUUUCUGCAAAUGACAAGGCAUUGCUCUGCCAGUCUCUUCUGACCAAAGCCAACAUGUACAUCUUUAAUAGAGGUGCAGUGCCUAGUGCUCAAAGCUCUGUCCGGUGGCUGCACAGGUCUUAACGGCGUACCACUCGAAAACUGCUGGUCAGAGAAAUUUAUGGCUAUGCACUUUUCCUGCGCUGGUCAGGUUUUUCAGAAGGCAAUGCAAGCCUUCUCAGAGGCAUGAGUAGGUCUUAAGGCUGAAUGCAGUUUUAGUUUUUAUGCAGUUAGUGGACUGAUAUGGGAUCAGCUUGAUUGAGGUUAGGUGAACGCGAUGCCAAAUCACAUAACAUUGCUGUACUUGCUUUUUUUUUUUUUUUUUUUGUAAAAGUAUCCAGUGACAUAACAUCUUUAUAAAUGAGUUUAUUUAUUUUGAAGAUUGUUCUAGUUUUUAUAGAUUUCAGUCAUUGUCACAUGUAUUUUGUUAAGCUUUAAAAAAAAAUCUUAAUUCUGAGCAAACAUUCUCAUCCUCCUUUAAGGAGAAGCUCAGUAUAUUAUGUGUGAAUAUCAUCAGUCAGUUUUGGUUUUGUAUUGUAAGCUUGCUGUUUCGCACUGUUGGAUGGUCCAUAUCAUUUAGGGUUAAUGCCAAAUUUUGUCUUUUAUUGUUGAUCCUGUCCCUGCAGUUGUGGUCAUUCUUUAUAUUUUCUUCCCAAAAUGUAACCAUUAAAAUAAUUCUUAGAUGUUGGAGUUAAGAUGCCAAAUGAAAAUGUACGAGUCCGUAGCAUUUCAUCAUAUUUCUCCUAUCUCGCGAUGCUGCGUACCGUGUUGGUUUGUUAGGUGAACACUACGCCCAGUAACUCAGCCAGAUAUAUAUGAACCUCUGAGCGCACGAUCAUUUUAAUGGACUGAAUCAGUGGUUUUUCAAACUGGUCCUCGAACCACCUCUGCAGGACUGUUUUUCCUGCUCUUACAGGCUCACUGAAAUAAUGAAGGACUUGUUGUUUAGCUGAGGUGUGCAGUGGGAUUGGAGGACUAGAUUUAAAAAAUACUGGCUUAAAUAUUUUUUUUUAUAUAUAUCAUGUUUUGCCACCAGCAUCUAGUACACUUGAAAAUACCCUGCGAUCUGGAAUGCUUUUAGACAUUUUUAGCCUUUUUUCAAUAGUGAACAUAUGAACUUGGGAGUUUUAAAUAGUGUAGUGGACAUAAGGAGGCCUGAGCCUGUGGGUCCGUCUCUACUUCGCCACACCUGGAAAACAACAGGGACCCCUUGCUGCACCUGUGCAAUCAAAGCUUGGUCAUUGUUUUCUUUGUUACUGUCCAACAUGAUUCGUUAUCCAGAAACAUCUAUUUAUACUGUUGACUCUAAAGGAAUUAAAGUUGGGGGAGGAUUUUUAAA
RNA transcript from Pygocentrus nattereri (red-bellied piranha), 3168 nucleotides. It is a transcript of the gene named DnaJ (Hsp40) homolog, subfamily C, member 5 gamma a, with no coding region annotated. The record is from RefSeq and is a predicted model, not a curated record. Lineage: Eukaryota; Metazoa; Chordata; Actinopteri; Characiformes; Serrasalmidae. The transcript has 7 exons.